UCUCCGUUGGUGAACCAGCGGAGGGAUCAUUAUCGAGUUUAUAACUCCCAAACCCUAUGUGAACUUACCACUUGUCGCUUCGGCGCGCGCUUCGGCGCCGCCGAGGACACUUAAACUCUUUGUUUUUAUAAGCAUUUCUGAGUGGCCGAAAGGCAAAAUACAAAUGAAUCAAAGCUUUCAACAACGGAUCUCUUGGUUCUG
Molecule: unclassified non-coding RNA, 201 nt
Filed under: plant metagenome
Description: partial contains small subunit ribosomal RNA, internal transcribed spacer 1, and 5.8S ribosomal RNA
Source: RNAcentral